GAUGAACGCUGGCGGCGUGCCUAAUACAUGCAAGUCAAGCGAACGGACGAGAAGCUUGCUUCUCUGAUGUUAGCGGCGGACGGGUGAGUAACACGUGGAUAACCUACCUAUAAGACUGGGAUAACUUCGGGAAACCGGAGCUAAUACCGGAUAAUAUUUUGAACCGCAUGGUUCAAAAGUGAAAGACGGUCUUGCUGUCACUUAUAGAUGGAUCCGCGCUGCAUUAGCUAGUUGGUAAGGUAACGGCUUACCAAGGCAACGAUGCAUAGCCGACCUGAGAGGGUGAUCGGCCACACUGGAACUGAGACACGGUCCAGACUCCUACGGGAGGCAGCAGUAGGGAAUCUUCCGCAAUGGGCGAAAGCCUGACGGGGCAACGCCGCGUGAGUGAUGAAGGUCUUCGGAUCGUAAAACUCUGUUAUUAGGGAAGAACAUAUGUGUAAGUAACUGUGCACAUCUUGACGGUACCUAAUCAGAAAGCCACGGCUAACUACGUG
Molecule: ribosomal RNA, 497 nt
Filed under: uncultured bacterium
Lineage: Bacteria
Description: partial 16S ribosomal RNA
Rfam family: Bacterial small subunit ribosomal RNA
Source: RNAcentral